UUUGGUCCAAUUUUAUUUGAACUUUUUCGUAUUGAUGAUUUUGCCCCUUAUUAUUUUAUUUUUCAUUUUUGUUUUAUUACAACAAUUAAAAAACUAUUAAAAAUAAAACAAAAAUAAAAUCUCUCUCUCUCUCUCUCUCUCUCUCUCCAUUGGAACUGACAUAUGUGCCUAACUUCAUCUACUUCGACCAUCUAAAUCACUACCAUCCACCACUUCCUUCAUUAAUCACCACCUACAGCCACCAUCACCACCUCCCGCCACCACCACCACCACCGGAUGCCACCACUAUAAAAGAAUCAUAAAUCAAAAAUCAUUUUUGUUUCUUGUUUCAAAUUCCUGCAAAAGAAAAGUUGAUUCGAUCUAAAUCAUCAAAUAUUUAGCAAUCAUAACCAAAAUCUGAUUCAAAACUCAAAAGCACCAAUCUAUCUAUGAAUGUUCAUCAAUUUUUAAGUACAUAAAACAUUCAAAAUCAAAUGAAGGAACCAGUUAUUUUGGGGGUCUCCUUAUUUGGGUAAUCUGGUAGCAAAGAAGAAUGAUAAAUUCAGACCCCACCUACAAAUCUAUCUUCAAAUAAAUCAAGACCCACCUGUAUACAGAUUUAGACAACAAUUUCAUGGCCUCAAAUCGAUUCCAAGAGAUGCAAAUAUGUAAAAUGGCCUCACUGUUUCCCCUUCUCCCUCUUCUUUUGAAACCUGCAAAUCGAUCAGAAUAAAAUUCAGGUAGUGACUUAAGACUAUGUAACAAGCUAACUAGCAUAAAGGUGGGAGGAGGUGCUUGGGCUGUAGCUUACCGAUGACAUCAAAACCCUAUCUAUUUAGAUAACAACGACUUCAGAUUAAUUAGGGUUUUCUGUAGGUGACGACGACUUUGAGAUGAGAGGGUGGUGAUGGCGGAGACGACGGGGCUGAAGACGAGAACCCUAAUCGGAGUUGGAUCUGCAACGGUGGCCUAUCCCCUUUUGGUCGUUCGUCGAUAGAUCGAGUUCUAGAUCGUCUCCUCUGAAGACGGAAGCUAGGGCAUAGAGGUGGAGAGUUUGAUGCAUCCGAUCUGUGAAAGGGAGGUCCAACGAGAAGAGACGACGCUCCAUAUCUUCGAAAACCAUGUUUAGGUCUUGUUGCAGGUUUUCUAAGCGGUUAAGAGAGAGAGAGAGAGAGAGAGAGAGAGAGAGAGAGAGAGAGAGAAGUAUUCUAUUUUUGUUUUGUUUUUAAUAGUUUUUUAAUUUUUGUAAUAAAACAAAAAUGAAAAAUAAAAUAAUAAGGGGCAAAAUCAUCAAUACAAAAAAGUUCAAACCAAAUUGGACCAAACUCGCAACAAAACCAAACUAUUGGACCACCCUUGCGAGUCCAAACUUGCUAGUUUUGACAUACCACAUGGACCACUCUUGCAAUUUUGUCAAAUCACAAACUAGAAUUCUUCAAUUAAUCCCUAGAACUAGACAUGGCAUUGGAUCAAAACAUAUGAAAUUACCCCAAUAAAAUAAAAGCGAAGUAAAGCGACAAAGAUAAAUCACAAAUACUACCUUAAAAUCUCAUUAUGCUCACAUUACCACAUACACAUCUUAG
This 1562-nucleotide long non-coding RNA is filed under the name Lactuca sativa (garden lettuce). RNAcentral's name for it is "long non-coding RNA (LSAT_LNC007233)". The record is from RNAcentral. Lineage: Eukaryota; Viridiplantae; Streptophyta; Magnoliopsida; Asterales; Asteraceae.